AUACUUACCUGGCAGGGGAGACACCAUGAUCAUGAAGGUGGUUCACCCAGAGUGAGGCUCAGUCAUUGCACUCCGACUGUGCUGACCCCUGCGAAUUCCCCAAAUGGGGGAAUCUCGACUGCAUAAUUUCUGGUAGUGGGGGACUUCAAGCACCCGUGCAAACCCUGU
Molecule: small nuclear RNA, 168 nt
Organism: Xyrauchen texanus (razorback sucker)
Lineage: Eukaryota; Metazoa; Chordata; Actinopteri; Cypriniformes; Catostomidae
Product: U1 spliceosomal RNA
Exons: 1
Source: RefSeq, a predicted model, not a curated record